Molecule: non-coding RNA, 82 nt
Organism: Trametes gibbosa
Lineage: Eukaryota; Fungi; Basidiomycota; Agaricomycetes; Polyporales; Polyporaceae
Source: the annotation of a GenBank genome assembly
ACACUGAUGGUGAAACGGUAUCAUGCUUGCCUUCCACUCUUGUCGAUAGCAAGCGGCGUGGGUUCGACUCCCGCUCAGUGUA